This is a long non-coding RNA of Oncorhynchus keta (chum salmon), 582 nucleotides long. RefSeq lists it as uncharacterized. The transcript has 3 exons. NCBI's taxonomy places the organism in Eukaryota, Metazoa, Chordata, Actinopteri, Salmoniformes, Salmonidae. The record is from RefSeq and is a predicted model, not a curated record.
AAUGGCAUAGAUGUUAAAUGGGCAAAUAAAAGGAAAGUUUUACAUCUUCAAGUCUGAGGGGGGUUUUAACCUUCCUGAGUCUGAGGGUGGUUUUAACCUUCCUGAGUCUGAGGGGGGGUUUAACCUUCCUGAGUCUGAGGGGGGUUUUAACCUUCCUGGGUCUGAGGGGGUUUUAACCUUCCUGAGUCUGAGGGUGGUUUUAACCUUCCUGAGUCUGAGGGUGGUUUUAACCUUCCUGAGUCUGAGGGUGGUUUUAACCUUCCUGAGUCUGAGGGUGGUUUUAACCUUCCUGAGUCUGAGGGUGGUUUUAACCUUCCUGAGUCUGAGGGUGGUUUUAACCUUCCUGAGUCUGAGGGUGGUUUUAACCUUCCUGAGUCUGAGGGUGGUUUUAACCUUCCUGAGUCUGAGGGUGGUUUUAACCUUCCUGAGUCUGAGGGGGGUUUUAACCUUCCUGAGUCUGAGGGGGGUUUUAACCUUUCUUGAGUCUGAGGGUGGUUUUAACCGUCUGAGGGGGGAUUUAACCUUCCUGAGUCUGAGGGUGGUUUUAACCUUCCUGAGUCUGAGGGGAGUUUUAACCUUCCU